RNAcentral lists this ribosomal RNA (515 nucleotides) under uncultured bacterium. RNAcentral's name for it is "partial 16S ribosomal RNA". It matches the Rfam family "Bacterial small subunit ribosomal RNA", at positions 28 to 523 of the family's 1533-position model. The record is from RNAcentral.
GAUGAACGCUGGCGGCGUGCCUAAUACAUGCAAGUCGAGCGAAUGGAUUAAGAGCUUGCUCUUAUGAAGUUAGCGGCGGACGGGUGAGUAACACGUGGGUAACCUGCCCAUAAGACUGGGAUAACUCCGGGAAACCGGGGCUAAUACCGGAUAACAUUUUGAACCGCAUGGGUCGAAAUUGAAAGGCGGCUUCGGCUGUCACUUAUGGAUGGACCCGCGUCGCAUUAGCUAGUUGGUGAGGUAACGGCUCACCAAGGCAACGAUGCGUAGCCGACCUGAGAGGGUGAUCGGCCACACUGGGACUGAGACACGGCCCAGACUCCUACGGGAGGCAGCAGUAGGGAAUCUUCCGCAAUGGACGAAAGUCUGACGGAGCAACGCCGCGUGAGUGAUGAAGGCUUUCGGGUCGUAAAACUCUGUUGUUAGGGAAGAACAAGUGCUAGUUGAAUAAGCUGACACCUUGACGGUACCUAACCAGAAAGCCACGGCUAACCACGUGCCAGCCGCCGCAGUAA